Long non-coding RNA from Gavialis gangeticus (Gharial), 112 nucleotides. RefSeq lists it as uncharacterized. The record is from RefSeq and is a predicted model, not a curated record. The transcript has 3 exons. NCBI's taxonomy places the organism in Eukaryota, Metazoa, Chordata, Crocodylia, Gavialidae.
CAUUGCUCCAAGUUAGUUUAAAAAAAGCAUGUCUUGCAUUCAAAACCUUGUCCAACUCCAUCCCAACUACACUGCUGGUCCAAUAAAAGAUAUCACCUGAAGAAUUCCUUGC